AAGGCUUUAAGUUAAAUAAACUAAUAGCCUUCAAAGCUAUAAAUAUUAGUAAAAAAUCUAUUAAGUUUUA
RNAcentral lists this transfer RNA (70 nucleotides) under Procecidochares utilis. Its description in RNAcentral is "tRNA-Trp". It matches the Rfam family "tRNA". Rfam says of the family: Transfer RNA (tRNA) molecules are approximately 80 nucleotides in length. The record is from RNAcentral. Lineage: Eukaryota; Metazoa; Arthropoda; Insecta; Diptera; Tephritidae.